Molecule: non-coding RNA, 1580 nt
Organism: Drosophila suzukii
Lineage: Eukaryota; Metazoa; Arthropoda; Insecta; Diptera; Drosophilidae
Source: RefSeq, a predicted model, not a curated record
GAACCACUGAACCACGCAACCACCGAACCACCGAACCACUCGACCACACUCAAUGACUUUAUUUUAAUUCGAAAUUUGCCUCGAGUUGUGCUCUUUUUUUAUUGUGUCUUGGUUUCCAUCGGUGAGUUUCAGUUUUUCAGUUUUUUAGAUGGCAUUAGUCAUCCCCAAAGCCACAGUCAUCGUCUCCGUCUCCAUUCUGGUGUGCAAUUUGGCUUUUGUUUUUCAUUUUUUUAAACAUUUUUUUCAUUGCAAUUUUCAUUUCAGCUGGGUAAGUGUUAAGGUUGCCGAUUCUUAGUCUUCAACCUGUUGUCGUUUAUUGUACUUGACAGCAGCCAUCGAAAGGGCAAGCAAACACAUAUUUCGCAAAGCUCAUUAAGUUUGUUUUUUCCUCUGGCUGUUUUCUUCCCCCCGAAAGAAACCCCUUCUAGAUAUUCGAACCCGAACUGUGCUAAAUUUCGUAAUCGAAAGUUGUUUUGAUGGCUCGGCUUUUGGGUGAGCAGUGCUUAGUCAAUGAUAUUAAGUAAUACUUAGACACGACUGUGUACCGAUACUACACCAUCAGGUAUAUAUGUAUAUAUACAUUUGUUUUUUAGCUAGUACUGGAUACUUGGGGUACUCGAGGCCUCAUUUGCAUGGGCCCGUCCACUUGGAAUUGAAAUUAUAUAUUCUGAGCCCCGGCGAGUGUAAACAUUUGCUCCAAGUUGUUUAUGCAAGCUGCUGUUGGCAUUAGUCUUACUUUAGGCACUAUUCAGGUAGUUCCUAGGUGCUCUUAUCAACCAGGAACUGUUUGACAAAUUCAAGAGGAACCCAAGACCAGGAAACCGAAUCGAAAUAGGAAGUAUUAGCGAAUCGUUUGGGAAACAAAUACGCGUAUCAACGAGCAUAUUUAAGUGGCUCAACAAAGGGCGGUGAGUGAGUAACUCAACGCAAUCCUGAUGCAGCUCCUCUUGGCAAACAUCAGGAAAAGGCAACCGAGCAAACAAUUUGCAUUAUUAAUUUAAUUGAAAAACUUGUUAAAUUAAAUAUUUAAAUUUCGCUGCAGCCUCAGUCGCUGUCCUCGUCUCAGCGGCACUUGGAGUCGACGUCAAACAAUAUGGCAAAUGAUAAUAUUAAUAUGAAUAAAUGCAAAUUGAGUUACAUACUAGCCAGCUGAUUGUGGCAAUAUAAGGAGGGGGAGGGACUUGGGGGUCUUGGCAUCCACUUGGGACAUUUAUAGAACAUUGUUGCAAUUAAUAUGCUCGACUGUGGGCAGUGGAGCCAUUUAUGUGGCACACGAAGCGAAACUCUAUCGACUGUCGCCAUGGGAAUCCACUUCAAGGGAAACAGGUUCAGGAGAACGAUUGCAUAGACGUUUCUAUGGUUUUUCGCUCUGGCUUUAAUUUAGGAGUGGAAAUAAUUAUUUAACGUAAAUGAAUUCAUGUUUUAAAAUCGUAAAUACCUAUCGAUGUUAUUUGAAACAUUUUCUUGACUACUUUGGGUCUAGAAACAUUCUUAUAUGUAGUUGAACCUUAUGAUAUUAUUUUAUUAUACUUUUUGAAUCGUUCCUUAUAAAACGCUUAAGGAGAUUUCAAUAGACUUUA